UAACGCUUGUGAACGCAUGAU
This 21-nucleotide non-coding RNA is filed under the name Caenorhabditis elegans. Lineage: Eukaryota; Metazoa; Nematoda; Chromadorea; Rhabditida; Rhabditidae. The record is from RNAcentral.